Molecule: long non-coding RNA, 283 nt
Filed under: Panax ginseng (ginseng)
Lineage: Eukaryota; Viridiplantae; Streptophyta; Magnoliopsida; Apiales; Araliaceae
Description: long non-coding RNA (PGIN_LNC006041)
Source: RNAcentral
AUACUUAGUAUAUGGUAUUUGUCAUUUUCUUUAAGUCCUCAAUUUUGAAAAUUACACAAAUUAAAAUAAUUUCAUAAUUAAUAAUAUCAAAUGCCUCAUUCAAUAAACUUCACACUAAUUUUUAAAAAUAACAUUUAUUUAAAUUUUUGAGAGAGAAGAAGUACGUUUAUAAUUAUAUAUUUGAAGAUAUCAAGAUACUUCUUACUAGUUACUACUUACUAGUAACAUUAUUCCUAUAAUUUAAUUAUUUCAAGCAAUGGAUAUAUAUCUUACUACUUAAGUG